GCGGAUGUGGUGAAAUUGGCAGACACGCUAGACUUAGGAUCUAGUGCCGAAAGGUGUGGAGGUUCGAGUCCUCUCAUCCGCACCA
This 85-nucleotide transfer RNA is filed under the name Campylobacterota bacterium. Its description in RNAcentral is "Epsilonproteobacteria bacterium (hydrothermal vent metagenome) tRNA-Leu". It matches the Rfam family "tRNA". From Rfam's summary of the family: Transfer RNA (tRNA) molecules are approximately 80 nucleotides in length. Their secondary structure includes four short double-helical elements and three loops (D, anti-codon, and T loops). The record is from RNAcentral. Lineage: Bacteria; Pseudomonadati; Campylobacterota.